ACGCUCGACACCUACGGUAGGCAGCAGUGAGGAAUAUUGGUCAAUGGGCGCUAGCCUGAACCAGCCAAGUAGCGUGAAGGAUGAAGGCUCUAUGGGUCGUAAACUUCUUUUAUAUAAGAAUAAAGUGCAGUAUGUAUACUGUUUUGUAUGUAUUAUAUGAAUAAGGAUCGGCUAACUCCGUGCCAGCAGCCACGGUAAUCUGAGCGGGCUGGCAAGGC
RNAcentral lists this ribosomal RNA (218 nucleotides) under uncultured bacterium. RNAcentral describes it as "partial 16S ribosomal RNA". It matches the Rfam family "Bacterial small subunit ribosomal RNA", at positions 326 to 539 of the family's 1533-position model. The record is from RNAcentral.